Molecule: long non-coding RNA, 314 nt
Filed under: Mytilus galloprovincialis (Mediterranean mussel)
Lineage: Eukaryota; Metazoa; Mollusca; Bivalvia; Mytilida; Mytilidae
Source: RNAcentral
GAAUGGAUAUAAAGGUAAAGCACCUAGGACAGACAAAUACUAGUACAAACACACCAGGAUUCUCUUCGAAUUCCCACCACCUAGAAUAGCAAAUGGUCGCCCCCUUUUCCCCCUAAGCAUAGAUACAUGUAUAUUACUAUAUAUAUAUGUAAUACUAAUAUAGUAAUCAUAAAUAAUCAUUUUCCUAAGGAACUGCAGAUUUGAAAUAUGUAAAGUCAUGAAGAGGUUGAACCUUCACUGCAAAUCAGAAAUUGAGAACCAUAAGUCCUAAAAAUUACGCAUGCCUUUGAUAAAAUUAAAAGAGCAAGCCCCCU